RNAcentral lists this transfer RNA (74 nucleotides) under Streptococcus uberis. Its description in RNAcentral is "tRNA-Met". It matches the Rfam family "tRNA". From Rfam's summary of the family: Transfer RNA (tRNA) molecules are approximately 80 nucleotides in length. Their secondary structure includes four short double-helical elements and three loops (D, anti-codon, and T loops). Further hydrogen bonds mediate the characteristic L-shaped molecular structure. tRNAs have two regions of fundamental functional importance: the anti-codon, which is responsible for specific mRNA codon recognition, and the 3' end, to which the tRNAs corresponding amino acid is attached (by aminoacyl-tRNA synthetases). tRNAs cope with the degeneracy of the genetic code in two manners: having more than one tRNA (with a specific anti-codon) for a particular amino acid; and 'wobble' base-pairing, i.e. permitting non-standard base-pairing at the 3rd anti-codon position. RNAcentral also lists the same sequence under 14 other names. Lineage: Bacteria; Bacillati; Bacillota; Bacilli; Lactobacillales; Streptococcaceae. The record is from RNAcentral.
GGCGGUGUAGCUCAGCUGGCUAGAGCGUUCGGUUCAUACCCGAAAGGUCGGGGGUUCGAUCCCCUUCGCCGCUA